CAGCACAGAGGAUAGGGCCUUCCUCCUCAAAAUGACGAUCUGCCCUCCUGCUGACAAUAACCCCUGUGCCCUCAUCCAAUCUAGCAAAGUUGGACUGCAUGCACAUUGAGCACACAAUUCAGCGAUGGGAUUAAUACAUUUAUCAGUUGAUAAGAAACAUUAAAUUUUGUCCAGGGAUAAAAAGGAAGAAAGAAAACAUAGGUGAAACAUGCUUCUUUCCGCACUACAGCCGGUCAAAUUCAAUGAUCCAAGCCAUUUCUUAGAAGAGCUACAGACCAAGAUCUGACAAAAAGUGUUGGCCAAACUUAGUUAUUGCAUGCACACUCUUGAAUGAUCUGAACCAUUGCUAACUACCUAAAAUUACAGCCUAAGAGUCUAACGAAACUGAGCAUCAAUUUACAACGCAAAACAGAAGACUGAAUGAUGAACAAUAACUGCUGGGCAUACAAGUUGACAGCAGAAGGAGCCAGCUUUAGCAAUAGAACGGCAAGAACACACUAUGAUCUGAACAAAUCGAGCUACCACUACUUCAGCUGCAAUCCGGUGCUACCCAAGAACGUGGUGCCGAUCUUGACACAACAGACAUAGCAAAUGCAUCAUUCAGGUGCGUUAAGGUUGUCUGAAAAGUAACAUCACAAUGCAUAUCCAUUAGAGAACUGCAGCUUGCUGAUUCAGAGUUUGUAAAAAAAAUCAAGUACACAACCUUGAGGGCGAAUCAGCGGCGUCCUGCUCGGGAAGACGGAGGCAGGGUUGAAUACGAGUGCGUCGAUUCCGGGGCCGCGGCGUCGUCCUCCUCUGGGCAUCGCUGCCGGCGGAACAGCGGCGGCAGGGUCCGGCCGGGGCGUCGUCCUCCUCUGGGCGUCGCUGUGUCCUGCUCGGGGAGACGGCGGCGGGGUUGAAUACGGGUACGGCUGGUCGCGCCGUCGUAUUCAACCCGAGCGAUGCGAGGGCGGAGAAUACUGCUGAGCGGUUCCAACAUAUGCAAACGUCCUGCGAGCGAUGCGGGGUUGUUGGUGCCCGUCAAAAAA
RNAcentral lists this long non-coding RNA (1028 nucleotides) under Setaria italica (foxtail millet). Its description in RNAcentral is "long non-coding RNA (SITA_LNC006284)". Lineage: Eukaryota; Viridiplantae; Streptophyta; Magnoliopsida; Poales; Poaceae. The record is from RNAcentral.